RNAcentral lists this ribosomal RNA (163 nucleotides) under Nannoglottis yunnanensis. Its description in RNAcentral is "5.8S ribosomal RNA". It matches the Rfam family "5.8S ribosomal RNA". From Rfam's summary of the family: 5.8S ribosomal RNA (5.8S rRNA) is a component of the large subunit of the eukaryotic ribosome. It is transcribed by RNA polymerase I as part of the 45S precursor that also contains 18S and 28S rRNA. Lineage: Eukaryota; Viridiplantae; Streptophyta; Magnoliopsida; Asterales; Asteraceae. The record is from RNAcentral.
CAAACGACUCUCGGCAACGGAUAUCUCGGCUCACGCAUCGAUGAAGAACGUAGCAAAAUGCGAUACUUGGUGUGAAUUGCAGAAUCCCGUGAACCAUCGAGUUUUUGAACGCAAGUUGCGCCCGAAGCCAUUCGGCCGAAGGCACGUCUGCCUGGGCGUCACG